This 232-nucleotide unclassified non-coding RNA is filed under the name plant metagenome. Its description in RNAcentral is "partial contains small subunit ribosomal RNA and internal transcribed spacer 1". The stretch from base 1 to 46 matches the Rfam family "Eukaryotic small subunit ribosomal RNA", at positions 1786 to 1831 of the family's 1831-position model. The record is from RNAcentral.
AAGUCGUAACAAGGUUUCCGUAGGUGAACCUGCGGAAGGAUCAUUAACACAUUAAACGUUACCGGCACCCCUCAACAGGGUGUGCUCGGCCCGUUCAAACCCCCUGCGUACACGUACUUCUGUUGCUUCCCGUCCACUGCUUCGGCUUUGCGGCGGGGAGGUCUACCGAAACUCCUGUCUUCUCAUGCAGUCUGUAGAUGGCGGCUAGUCCGCGAAAACUAAAAAGUUAAAA